AUAACUUCGGGAAACCGGAGCUAAUACCGGAUAAUAUUUUGAACCGCAUGGUUCAAAAGUGAAAGACGGUCUUGCUGUCACUUAUAGAUGGAUCCGCGCUGCAUUAGCUAGUUGGUAAGGUAACGGCUUACCAAGGCAACGAUGCAUAGCCGACCUGAGAGGGUGAUCGGCCACACUGGAACUGAGACACGGUCCAGACUCCUACGGGAGGCAGCAGUAGGGAAUCUUCCGCAAUGGGCGAAAGCCUGACGGAGCAACGCCGCGUGAGUGAUGAAGGUCUUCGGAUCGUAAAACUCUGUUAUUAGGGAAGAACAUAUGUGUAAGUAACUGUGCACAUCUUGACGGUACCUAAUCAGAAAGCCACGGCUAACUACGUGCCAGCAGCCGCGGUAAUACGUAGGUGGCAAGCGUUAUCCGGAAUUAUUGGGCGUAAAGCGCGCGUAGGCGGUUUUUUAAGUCUGAUGUGAAAGCCCACGGCUCAACCGUGGAGGGUCAUUGGAAACUGGAAAACUUGAGUGCAGAAGAGGAAAGUGGAAUUCCAUGUGUAGCGGUGAAAUGCGCAGAGAUAUGGAGGAACACCAGUGGCGAAGGCGACUUUCUGGUCUGUAACUGACGCUGAUGUGCGAAAGCGUGGGGAUCAAACAGGAUUAGAUACCCUGGUAGUCCACGCCGUAAACGAUGAGUGCUAAGUGUUAGGGGGUUUCCGCCCCUUAGUGCUGCAGCUAACGCAUUAAGCACUCCGCCUGGGGAGUACGACCGCAAGGUUGAAACUCAAAGGAAUUGACGGGGACCCGCACAAGCGGUGGAGCAUGUGGUUUAAUUCGAAGCAACGCGAAGAACCUUACCAAAUCUUGACAUCCUUUGACAACUCUAGAGAUAGAGCCUUCCCCUUCGGGGGACAAAGUGACAGGUGGUGCAUGGUUGUCGUCAGCUCGUGUCGUGAGAUGUUGGGUUAAGUCCCGCAACGAGCGCAACCCUUAAGCUUAGUUGCCAUCAUUAAGUUGGGCACUCUAAGUUGACUGCCGGUGACAAACCGGAGGAAGGUGGGGAUGACGUCAAAUCAUCAUGCCCCUUAUGAUUUGGGCUACACACGUGCUACAAUGGACAAUACAAAGGGCAGCGAAACCGCGAGGUCAAGCAAAUCCCAUAAAGUUGUUCUCAGUUCGGAUUGUAGUCUGCAACUCGACUACAUGAAGCUGGAAUCGCUAGUAAUCGUAGAUCAGCAUGCUACGGUGAAUACGUUCCCGGGUCUUGUACACACCGCCCGUCACACCACGAGAGUUUGUAACACCCGAAGCCGGUGGAGUAACCUUUUAGGAGCUAGCCGUCGAAGGUGGGACAAAUGAUUGGGGUGAAGUCGUAACAAGGUAGCCGUAUCGGAAGGUGCGGCUGGAUCACCUCCUUU
Molecule: ribosomal RNA, 1405 nt
Filed under: Staphylococcus aureus
Lineage: Bacteria; Bacillati; Bacillota; Bacilli; Caryophanales; Staphylococcaceae
Description: bacterial SSU rRNA
Rfam family: Bacterial small subunit ribosomal RNA
Source: RNAcentral